This 566-nucleotide ribosomal RNA is filed under the name uncultured bacterium. RNAcentral's name for it is "partial 16S ribosomal RNA". It matches the Rfam family "Bacterial small subunit ribosomal RNA", at positions 355 to 914 of the family's 1533-position model. The record is from RNAcentral.
UGGGGAAUUUUGGACAAUGGGCGAAANCCUGAUCCAGCAAUGCCGCGUGUGUGAAGAAGGCCUUCGGGUUGUAAAGCACUUUUGUCCGGAAAGAAAUCCUUGGCUCUAAUACAGUCGGGGGAUGACGGUACCGGAAGAAUAAGCACCGGCUAACUACGUGCCAGCAGCCGCGGUAAUACGUAGGGUGCAAGCGUUAAUCGGAAUUACUGGGCGUAAAGCGUGCGCAGGCGGUUUGCUAAGACCGAUGUGAAAUCCCCGGGCUCAACCUGGGAACUGCAUUGGUGACUGGCAGGCUAGAGUAUGGCAGAGGGGGGUAGAAUUCCACGUGUAGCAGUGAAAUGCGUAGAGAUGUGGAGGAAUACCGAUGGCGAAGGCAGCCCCCUGGGCCAAUACUGACGCUCAUGCACGAAAGCGUGGGGAGCAAACAGGAUUAGAUACCCUGGUAGUCCACGCCCUAAACGAUGUCAACUAGUUGUUGGGGAUUCAUUUCCUUAGUAACGUAGCUAACGCGUGAAGUUGACCGCCUGGGGAGUACGGUCGCAAGAUUAAAACUUAAAUAAAUUGAC